This 1309-nucleotide long non-coding RNA is filed under the name Callithrix jacchus (white-tufted-ear marmoset). RNAcentral describes it as "lncRNA (ENSCJAG00000080588.1)". Lineage: Eukaryota; Metazoa; Chordata; Mammalia; Primates; Cebidae. The record is from RNAcentral.
AGAGAAUUGAUUUAUUGGAACAAUGGCCUUCAAAAAUCCUUUUUCUUUUAAAAAAAAAGUCUUUGAAGAGGUGAGGUGUGAUGUAAAACCUUUUUUUUCUUUAUAGCAGCUUUCCAAGUCUUUCUCAAAUGUAUUUGAGGACUUUAUUUUGUAGACACUUUAGAAGUUGAAUAGUUUUGCAAGAAACAUCUGUAAAUAUUAGAAAAACAAUUCAGAUCUUAAGAACAAAAUGCAUAAACAAGUUGUAUAAACACAUUUUAGUGCAUCAUGGGGUCAACCCAAUAUUUAAUUAUGGUUAUCCAUUAUGUUUUAUGAAACAUAUGUUACAGUGUUUUUCCUGAAAUUAAUUGCAUCGUUAAGAUAUUAUGGAGUGGUGUAUUUAUCAUUUGUUUAUGACUUUCUUUGUGGUUCAUCAAAAGUCUGUUAUUGCACCAUAAAGAGCAAUCUCUACUGAACAGGCUGUUUACAAGUAUAAGAAGAAAUGGAAGGUCAGGCUUUUGGUACUACAAUUCAUGGACAGUCUCUUGAUUUUCCACAUUAAAUAGAUCUACUUUAUACAAGGUACUAUGCCCUUAGAAUUUUUUUUUAAGUUUAGUUUUAAAAUCUAAAGGUAAUUCUAAGUAAACGCUGUCCUGUGCACUGUAAGAUUUAGUUAGAUCCCUGGCCUUUUCCUACUAGAUGAUAGUUGUACCCCACCAAAUUAGGAUACUAAAAUUACCUCCUAAGGAGCAAAAUUGCCCCCAGUUGAGAAACACUGUUUUGGAACUUAACUGUUUCCCUUCCAUUCUUUCUGUUGCUCUGGGUGGAGAGUUCCAUAGACUUCUGUCAGAUCCAUUUGGUCCAAAGUUUAGUUCAGGUCCUGAAUAUUUUUAAUUUUCUCUCUUGGUGAUCUGUCUAAUACUAUCACUGGUGUGUUGAAGUCUCCCACUAUUAUUGUGUAGGAGUCUAUGUCUCUUUGUAAGUCUCUAAGGAUUUGCUUUAUGAAUCGGGGUGCUCCUGUGUUGAGUGCAUAUAUAUUUAGAAUAGUUAGGUCAUCUUGUGGAAUUGAACCCUUUACCAUUAUGUAAUGCCCUUCUUUAUUUUUUUUUAAUCUUUGUUGGUUUAAAGUCUAUUUUGUCUGAAAUUAGAAUUGCAACCCCUUCUUCUUUCUGUUUUGCAUUUGCUUGAUAUAUUUUCCUCCAUCCCUUUAUUUUGAGCCUAUAGGUGUCAUUACAUGUGAGAUGGGUCUCUUGAAGAUAGCAUAUCAUUGGAUCUUGCUUUUUAUCCAGCUUGCUACUCUCUGCCUUUUAAGUGGAGCAUUUAGCCUAUU